UAUGGCCAUAUCAUAUUGAGACACUGGUUCUCAUAUGAUCACCAAAGUUAAGCAAUGUCAAACCUGGUCAGUACUGAGAUGGGUGCCUGUUCAGGAAUACCAGGUGCUAUA
Non-coding RNA from Acanthosepion pharaonis, 111 nucleotides. Lineage: Eukaryota; Metazoa; Mollusca; Cephalopoda; Sepiida; Sepiidae. The record is from the annotation of a GenBank genome assembly.